Molecule: ribosomal RNA, 420 nt
Filed under: Leiosolenus simplex
Lineage: Eukaryota; Metazoa; Mollusca; Bivalvia; Mytilida; Modiolidae
Description: partial small subunit (12S) mitochondrial ribosomal RNA
Source: RNAcentral
GUUAGAAACAGGAUUACCAGCGGAGUACNAGGUUGUGCUUAAAACGUAAAGGACUUGGCGGACUAACACGAAACAUACAGGGGAAUCUGGGCGUUAAAGGACGAUCCGCCUACAUUUGUUCUUUAUCUUAACUUCUGCGCUUGUAUGNCCGUUUCCAGCUUUCGUACGUAAGGCGUCUGCUCAAUGGGCCGGCUGUGUGAAGAAACCUUAAUUUUUAUAUAUAUACAUAUAUGUAGGCGUUAGGCUCUUUUUUAUGCGUGACCAAGUAAUUCAGGUUGUCAUUAGGCUACUGGUAAAGCUAGUCUGGAUUACAAUUGUAGAUGAGCAAAUCGGAUCUAAAUUUUAGGAAACUUUUUACGUNAAGGAGGACUUGUAAGUAAAACUGUUAAAUAAUGGCAGUUUGAAUGAGGUGUAGUAGUA